Molecule: microRNA precursor, 100 nt
Filed under: Marmota monax (woodchuck)
Lineage: Eukaryota; Metazoa; Chordata; Mammalia; Rodentia; Sciuridae
Source: RNAcentral
AGUUCAAUUGCUGGCUAGUAUGUUAAGUGUGUUUAAUCUUUAAGAAGCUACCAAACUGCUUUCCAGGGUGGCUGCACUAUUUAAUAUUUCUAAUGGCAAU